Molecule: long non-coding RNA, 1191 nt
Organism: Calidris pugnax (ruff)
Lineage: Eukaryota; Metazoa; Chordata; Aves; Charadriiformes; Scolopacidae
Exons: 2
Source: RefSeq, a predicted model, not a curated record
GCUGCUUUCUGUGAAGGGAUAAAUCACAGCUCAGUGACUGAAUUACCUGUGACACCGGAAUGAUUUUUCUACCGGGAUGAAACAAGAGAAGCCAAGUGCAUUAGAGGCUGCCAAAAGUAGUUCUCAUUUGGCUUCUCCUCACCGUGAAGAAUCUCACUUACAGGUCACACCAGUGACAGACCAGUAAAGUCCCACAACUGUACCAGAAAGGUACUUUGGGUGAGAUCUUUACUGUACAUGGCCCCUGGCUUCACCUGCUCCAGAACUCAUCAUUCCUUCUCAGCAACAGCAGAGCCCAAUGAGAAGGAACCAUUCCCCAUCCAGUUCUCACCAUCUUCAUCUCCUAACCCUUUUAACUGCUUUGGGUUUGGCUUUUCCCCCUCUGGUUAUCUGAGGAGGCACAAGCAGCCAUCACAGGACGAUUCACCCCAGUGAAAAGGAGGUAUGAAAUGGCAAAAGCCUGGCUGUAGUAGCAUUUCCAAGCAGGUAAGAGAGAAGAUAAUACUUUCAGCAGAGCCAGACAAGCUGGUCAAUAAUCUUAGUUUGCUAAAUUAUACUUCUUUGCCACUUUUUAGUUUCAUAUCCUGCUUUGAUCCUUCAAACUGUUGCACCUGCACCCUGCACUGCCCAUCCAAGCAGCAAUACAAGCUGUUUCCAUCAGUGUCCCUGGAAGAACUCUGCCACGCCAGCUGGGAUACUACUCAGUGAGUGGAAGCCCUCCAAGAGCAGAAUGUGCAGCAGGCACUUUGCAAGGUGUUAGUUCUGCAAGGAAGAGAGGAAUUUGGGCUGGGAGCAAAGUCUAAAAUCCUGCAGUUAACUAUUCCAGCAGGAUGUGUUAUCUUCCCUUCUGGACCUGCAGAAUUAUGAACUAUGAAGGAGCUGCCAGCCCUCACCUCUGAUAGAUGGUUUGAACUCCCUCUACAGCCCCAGAUCUGUUCAUUAUACAUGCUUCUGGAGAGCUAAAAUUUCUCUGUGGGCCCCAUGACCAAGUCAAGUGAUGAUGUCCCAUGUGGAAACCAUAUUGAAAUCACUGGAAUAACUUAUUGCCUCCAAUCUGCACUUUGUCAGGCACUUUAGGAUGCUCCGAGAUGAAACACACUGCCCAGCCAUCGGGAAGAAUUAGCUAAUGCUGGCUAAUAGCUUAGAUAGCAUCUCCAAAGAGCAAGAAAUAAAAUCAACCUUAACUUGAAA